CCUAUUUCGUUUCGGUUAAACCUACCCAAACCCUAAAACUCCUCCUUCCAUCGCAGCAUUUGAAUGUCAGAAGAUCCCCCUUUUCUAUUCAUUUUUCCUGUCAAUAAUAUGUAUGUGUUGUUUGCUGGAUAUUCCACGUUUGCUGCAAACAAUUUCCUCAGGGUAGCAUUGGGUCAGGUUUGGUAAUCGGGGUUUUUGUUCAAGGAGUUUUCUUUUCAAUGUAUGAAUCUGGUUCAUCCAUCAAAGGGGUAUACUUCUCAUUUGGGAAGAUAAUCGAUUAUCUCGCAGUCAAUCAAGAUCAAAGAUGGAAAGAAACUUCGUGAACAGAGUAAUGGUUCCUCAAGCCCUUUAAUUUUUUUGAAUCAGACAUAUGAAGCCAAGAAAUCUUCCCAAAUGAUAAUGACGACUUCUGUGACACCAUAGGGACUUCACGAGAGUACCUAGCAAAGCUGCUUUUCUGGGUGAGAGAAUGGUUGCACAUGACCCGACUCAAAAGCAAAUGAGCACGAAGAAAAAGGAGCAUAGAGUAAAUUAGGCAGAGUAUGAGAAACAGUUGGGCUGUGAGUAAAAUGCCAUGCUGAGCCACUGGUCAUCCAUCCUAUGGGGAGCCACCAGAUGUUGGCUUUGCUAGGACAUGGAGCUGGAGCGCCUGCUGAAAUUGUUGUGGAAGGGGUUGUUGGGUCUCAGCCAAUUUUACAAUAACUUCUUUAGCACACACUUUAGUCAAUUUACUUGAAUUUUUUUCAGGUUGCAUAGCGGCUGCAGUUAAUGAAAAGAACAUGGGUUUUUUGCGCUUUUGAUAAGUGAAACGUUAACUAUUACCGGUUUGUACAUCCAACCAAGUGAUGGUUUCUAGAGAAAAUUAAAUAUAUAUAUGAAACUUCAAACAUGCUUCUGAAUUGAAGAAAGUGGAGAGAGCUCUAUAUGUGGGGAAAGAAUUUUAGUGAUCAACUUGGAAGGAGUAAGAUGCUUAUCUUUGGUUCUUUUAUUAAUUUUAUGCUAUUUGUGGUUACAUGUGUUUGGGAUGACUAUUUAUGACUUCUUUUGAUUCCAUUCUUCAUAUUCUAUCACAUAUUUGAUCUUAAUCGCACAUUGACGGCUAGCGAAAGUGAAGAUAAAAGUGGCGGUAAGAGGUGUUAUAUCCUUGGUUGUACUAAAAGCGUGCGAGGCAGAAACAAUUGAUGCGUAAAACACGAUGGCAGGAAGCGGUAUAAAUUCGAAAACUGUUCCACGUUUGCUCAUGAACAGCUUUGACAACAUAUACUCUUCACAACGAGUCAACAAUGUUUCUGACUCCAUGGAUUCACUUAAAAAGUCGGGUAAACAGCAACACUUGAUCCCACCACAAGUACUGGUUCCACCGUCGAUGAAACACCGGUUUUCACAAUCAUUUACAAUGCAGUUGGGGUCAGAUCACGAUGGAAACAGAAAUGAAAAUGGCAAAAAUAGGAAGAGCUUGGUGAGUUUCCUGUCAAUUUUGCACAAUAUAGUUUCAUUUGUUUUUAUGAGUUUGAUUACAAAUUUGUUACGGACCAGCUAUGUCCUUCUAAUUGUGUAUCUUAGUUUUCUGAUAAUUACCCCAAUGUGGCUUGUGAGUUUCCUAUUGCUAUAGUGGGUUAUUGGAUUAAUAUAUGGACGGUGGACCCAUAUCUCUUGCUAUGUCUUGUAACAAUCCUACUCAUGAUAUCAUAUGACAAUAUUUUGUUA
Molecule: long non-coding RNA, 1707 nt
Organism: Helianthus annuus (common sunflower)
Lineage: Eukaryota; Viridiplantae; Streptophyta; Magnoliopsida; Asterales; Asteraceae
Exons: 6
Source: RefSeq, a predicted model, not a curated record